RNAcentral lists this long non-coding RNA (6338 nucleotides) under Sus scrofa (pig). RNAcentral's name for it is "lncRNA (ENSSSCG00025035570.1)". The record is from RNAcentral. Lineage: Eukaryota; Metazoa; Chordata; Mammalia; Artiodactyla; Suidae.
GAUUAAAUAUUUCCCUGCUGGUACAUAAAGUCAACCUACCCAAGUAGUCACAAAUUUCAUGUAUUUGUUUACCCCAACAUAUUUAAUUUUUACACAUAACUGGUCUCUAUUUUUCUGAGAAUAAAAUACUUCAACAUCUACAGAACUUGUAGUCAUUUGAUAGGUAGAUCUAAAGCCACAUAAAAUGCCACAGUAGAGCUAAAAAUUCAGGUAAAAUUUUGUCUAGUAAGAACCUAGACAUAAUGAGACAUAAUCUAAUAAGAAUGUGCAAUUGCAUCUAGUAAGUUUUUUCCUACAUCCUUAUAGGGGUUCCAUAGUAUCAGUAUUUUCUAAAUCACUUUAAAUUAUUUUUAGCUUAUAUUUCAUGACCUACCAAAUGUCUUUUCCAGUAAGAAUCAAUCCCUCUACUGAAAAUGUUGUUUGAUAGAACUGCAUUAGAAAAUAGUAGAUGAGACCACAAAUGUUUGAAAAGGUCUACUAAUUGUCUUACAGCCAUUCAUCUAUUCAGCAUUUAUUAGACACCUACCAGGGCCAUUCCCUGAAACUACAAAAGUAAAAUAUAUAUUCUCUGUCCUCAAGGAAUUUAUACAGAAUCUAGAGAGGGAACUUGGCUCAACAGAGUACAGGACCCAGGGAAAGUGUUGAUAAUUAAUGCUUCUCCCAGUGACUAAAAAAGAUUAAUAAAUACAGGUUUAAGUAGAAAAGUAAAAAAUGAGAACGUUCCUAUAAAGACAAUAGAGUGCUGAAUGAAUUAAGAUAGCCUAAGAAUAGUGUGGUGGGUUGAAUUGUUGCCCCCAAAAAGAUCCAAGUCCUAACCCCAGUCCCCAUGAGACUCUGUUUGGGAAAAGGAGGCAGAAAUUGGAGUUAUGCUAAUCAAUAAACCAAGAAAAUUCUAGAAGCUGGAAGAGGCAAGAAUCAUGAGAGAAUACUUUUCUGUUUCCAGCUACCAAGUUUGUGGUGAUUUUUUACAAUAGCCCUAGGAAAAUAAUACAGGCAGGGUAUCUGUAUAUGAAUUUCCUGGUCUGGGGACAAAUAGCAAAAACAAAUACACAAACAAAACCAAGCUUCCAAGUUGGGAAAUAACCGUCUCAUCUGUAAUAACAAUUCAACCCACCACACUAUCCUUAGGGCCUCUAUAUUGGCCUGAGUCAGAGCCCCAUCUGUCACUGUCUUGCUGUGUCACUUGGACACAGUCCUCUGAGCUACAAUUUCACUGUCUGUGGAGUAGGCGAGAUGGAGAAAGAAAACAUCAGGGUUGAAAAGGCAGUAGUACCAAAAUUUGAACAACAGCCUCAAGAACCACCCACUCCAGUACUUGGGGAUUGCUGGUAAAAAUCUAUACUCAAAAACAUCAAAUGGAGGAUCUUGUAUUAUUGCAGAGACUACGGUGAGUUACAAAGCUUUAUUCUCAUAGGUUUCCUCCUAGGACCUGCUUCCAUCUCCAGACCCUACCCCUCCAUUUUGAUGCUGAACCUCUAGGCCAAAUGGAAUGGGCACCAUCUGCUAUCAAUACAGCCACCACUCUUCCCAGCCAAGAAGAGUCCCAGGCCAAGUUUAUCUUGAGAGCUAACAGGAGGUGACAAGCCUGGCAGGACACAAAUUCUUCCUGCAUGAUUGAUUCAGCCUGGCUGACCAGUUUCAUGCUAAUGAGGAUGUGCCAGAGCUGACAACAAACACAUUUUUGAAUAAUUUAAAACUUUAGAGCAUGAUUUGCCAGAUGAUGUGAUUCAUUGUGUAAUUAUGGCCCCAGUUAAAUCUGCUUCUGUGGGUGCCUCCACAACAAACAUCAGUGACUAUGAACUGCCUAUUAUCAAAAUUAACUGUAUAAAUAAUGCAAAAGAGCAGAGACACAUUAAUCUUGUGAGAAGACAGUGGAGGUAAAGCUGACCUAAGCCAUCAUAAACUGGUGCUUCAUAAAGAACUGAGUAGCGUUUCAAAUGUAGUACUUUAACAUGGAUAACUGACUUAAACACAAGCAAAAAUAUCUAUUUUCAUCCCUUACAGUAUGUUUGACAUAGACUGAUCUUAGAAAUUCUGGUUGAUUUUAAUGUCUUGCCUCAAUUCAGUUAUCUACUUUAAAAAGUUUCUUUUUACCAUUCUGGCAAUUUAUGUUCCCUCCUUUAUAAGUCCCCAUGCCAGUAAUUUGAAUACAGUAUAACAAAAUUCAAAUAUCUGAACCAUUCCUUCAAAGAGUGAACUGUCAAACACCUUUCUCCUCAGGAAAGGAAACUCCAAAACUUCUUAACUAUGUUAGGUAGGGGUUUAUUAACUAUGAGCCCGCAAGCAGUUUUUUAAAACAUAGUCCUUUUGCCUAAAAAUAGUGUGGAAUUGAGGAGAAAAUAACAGUAACCAGAACUUUCCAUUUAGACAGAGCACUGUAUUAUACAGAAAGAGCACCGAGUUCAAUGUGGAGACAAUCGAUUCAGAGUGACCUCUGACCUCGCAUUUGUUAGCUAGGUUGUGGCUGUGACAGACUAAUCUCUCUAAACUUCAGUUUCUUCAUCUGAAAAAUAGAUUUCAUAACACCUAACCAAUCACUGAACUUCAAAUCUAAUGGAAUAUCAUACAGAGUUUUCUGUAACAAUACACUCUAAUAGAUGGUAGGUUAUCACUCAAGUAGGUAACAUUAAGGAAUAUACUCAUUGGAGUAUAUUCUAAUUAGACUUCCAUUUUUUAAAAGGGGGGAAAAAGUUGUCCUAAAAUGUUUUUCCUAUUUUCGUCUGCCACUGAGGACAAGUAUUCAGGAAAUCGUAUCCCCACUUCCUAAUUUGAAGGCACAGAAAAUCAUCUGCCACUAAUAACAGGAGGACCUUCAAGGUGACAGUUGCCACCUGUGUCCCACUCUAUUCAAUCAACAUCUCUGAGAUUCCUCUGAACUGGCAAGGGCUACGCAUCCUCUACUGAGUCACAGACAGACUUCCAAGCAACCUGCCUAAACUGUCCUCACCUCCCCCCCGCUGCACCUGACACAGCAACUGUUUGGGCAGCUCCCAUAAGAGCUGCUGAUUUCAAAGCCUGUCCCAUCCAACUAUGCAUGUCCACCCUGUCCUGUGACACCACAGUCAUCUGAAACUCCAGAUAUGCAUUCAUGAUCCUAAACAUUUGCUCCUCACUUCAGUUUCUCUGAAUUUCAGACACAAAACUCCCUGUUAGAAACCUGGUCUGCUAGGGUAGCUCCCAUGGCCAUACGCAAUCAUCUGUCUCAGCUUGUUUCAGAGAUCUCAUUAUUAGAAACAAUCGACACAAAAGCACUUAACCAACACCUGUCUUAUUGAUUACUUUCUGUGUUAUAAACCUUUUUUUUUUUUAUCUUCCACAAAAUCAAAUUUGAAGUUUUUAAAGUUGUCUUUUUGUGAAUGCAGUCUUCUCUAGAGUUUGGAAACUUGGAGACUUACCAGAAAAGUUUAUCAGAAUGUUGCUUUAUGUUUAAAUAGAGGUUUAGAAAGUUCUAUGUAUGCUUCUUAUUAUUUAAUCAACAAUUAAAAUUUAAUGACAAAAUGCUUCACAUCUGAAAUCUAUAGGGAUUUUCUAUGAGCAAUGACUGUAAAAUCAGCCCAUUAUGAAGAGAUUUGCAUACUUUAAUUAUUGUGUUCUAAAGCUUUUGUCAAACAGAUGCUGUAAUGCAGUAAGUACCAUGUGGUUUUGGUAAACUGUGAACUUUCUGCUCUUAGUGUAUGUUGUCAGAUGAAUAAAUAUGAUACCAUAGGAACAUGCCUUGUUGGAAUGAGGCCUCCGCUUUAGUGCGAAAGUUUAGUAUCUUGUUCUCAAAAUUUAUCUAGAGAAUGAGAAAUUAAGGAAGACUGAAAUGUAGAUAAAUUGCUUGAAGAUCUCAAGUGAAUUAGUAAAUACACAAAAAUGACCAUGAGAUCUUUGGCAACAUUGCCAAAAAUGGCCUUAAAAUGCAAAGCUAAAUUCUGAAAUAAAUUUGACUAUGAAGCCCAGAUAAAAGAGUCAGAUGCAUAAGCAUUCAGGCUUUUAAUAUUCCAGCUCUGAUGACUAGAUAUAAAGAAAAAGUAAAAUUUAGCCAUACCAUUUGCACACAUUUAAAUUAUAUGGAGAAAACAUGCUGGGCACGUUACUUAAACUCUCUUUGCUUCAGUUUUCUCAUCUAUAAAAUGGGGUCUAAUAAUAGUACCUAUUGCAUAGGAUUAUUAUAAUUAAGUGAAGUAAUAUUUAGUACUUAGAACUAAAUAUUAAAUUAACAUUUAGUAUUUAGAACAGUGCCUGGCACAGAUGGUCAUGGUGAUGAUUAUACAUAGGGCUUUUAGAAUUCAGAGACUCUUUUAAAAACCUCUUGUAUUAAGAAAGUUUCCACUAUAUUUUAAAGUUUAAAGAUCCCUUUGAAAUAAUGUCAUAACGGGCUGCGAUUUUAGGAUAAUAGCAGUUUUUGCAAAUUACUUAACAUUUCAAUGAAAAAAUUAAAAGUUGGUGGUCUAAUAUUUUGGUAUUUGUAAAAUAUGCUACUAAAAUAAUACUUUGAUACACACGUUUGUAACAUUUCUAGAGGUUUUUUUUCAGAAGGAAAGAGAAUUGAACAUAUAUUAUCAUAAUCCCUAACACCAAUAACAUCUAUGCAGUGCAAGUCUCCUGAAGGUCUUUCAAAAAGUCUGUGUUGAAGGAAGCAAAUUCUGUAUGCCAGGAAGCACUUCUUCACUGAGUUCCAGGUCAUUAAAUCACAGCAAUCUUGGAAAUAAAUCUUUAAAUCUUUUCACAGCCCACCAAGUUUUUGCUAGCCCCUUCUGCUUUACAUUAAUCCUCUGAUUUUUGAAUUUUAUAUGUGUUUGGAGAUGGGGGAUAGAACCCCUCUGAGGAUCUGAUAAAAAUUAUGAGCCCCCCAAAAUUCACAUACACAUGUCAUUUUACAUUCAAGGUCGGGGCUUCGCAGACCAGAGUUUCAUCCAUAAAACUCCCUAGUGCAAAUGGUGACUAUGCAAUGUUACUCAGCAAUUAAAUAAAUUUAAUAACUCAGAAAAAUAUCACUUAUCCAAAUAAAAUACAGAUAAAAUUAAAUAAGUUUAAUUUUUAUAAAGAUUAUAUUAUUAUCUGUAUUAAAUAUAUCGCUCUAUCUUUUAAAAGUAGAGACCGAUUGCUAAUUGUCCAAACAAGAUAUACUGUACCACUUUUAGGCAAGUUUUGUAUUGUUUUAAAUUGUUUAUAUAAAGUACAGAGCAGGACAUGGGCAAGAGGUUGUGUUCAAUAUUAAGUAUAAAGAAGCCAAAAUGGUGAACUAUGGAAUGAUUAUAUUGAUCUCAACAGCUAUAUAUAAUAGUGUUUGAAUGAGAUAGUCUUCGUUUAAAAAAAUCAAUGUAAGUGUUUAAAAGUAAAACGUUUGAUAAGCAGGGAAAAGUUUGGGCAUUUUUUCUGGUGCAUAGGUGCAUAGGUGUUGCUGGCAUCUUCUAAUGAUUCUAACAGUAUUAAAGCACUAAGAAUGCCCAGGUAAUAGCUGAAAAAAUAUUUCCUUUACAUAGCACUACAUAAAAUUUAUAAAAACUUUCCUACUAAACAAAACUAGAAUUACAGAGAUUUAGAGUUCCCUCACUUUAUGAGCAAGGACUAAAGUCACACACACCAUAAGACCACUGGAAUUAGAGGCAGAUUCAGAGCCCUGGGGCCUACCCCAGCAGGUGUUAGGAUAAAUUGCAAACUUGCAGCCUGAGAACUUUUUGUACUAUAAUAUAGAAAAGGUUUCCUGUUAGCCCUUCAAGCUUCAAGCUGCUUUUCUGAGAACAAUAGCAGUCACAGGAUUUAAAAAAAAAAUGGUGUUAGCUUUAUCAAAAAUCUUUUUUGUCCCCACUUCACUGUUCAUUAUACUGCAACCUUUUUAAGUGGUAUCAGGAUUUUUCAAAAAAAAAAAAAGACUGGCCUAGUUACUUUCAUUACAUGCAACUAUUAAAACUCUAAUAUAUUAACUUUGUAGGACUGUUAACCUAAGUAAUAUGGUGACAGAGAGAGAAGCCCCUCACCCCUCCCAUUCCUACACACAUACCACAGGAGACUUUAAAACAAUCUAACCCAACCAGAUUGUUCUCCAUUCCCCAGCAUCCCGACACACAAUAACAAAGACUCUGAUCCUUUGCUCCUAUGCCCACCUACCACAAAUCUAGAAAGGAAACGAGAAGAGAAAGUAAGCAAGAGCAAAGGGAGAAAAACUGAUAAUGAAUUUUGUGCCCAUACCAAUGGUGAAUAAAAAUCAAGUUCAUAGGUUUUCAUUCAUCAACCAAUCUCAAGUCUCUGAAGCAAAGAACAAGCAUUUAUUUGGUAAUUAGUGAGAGGAAUGCAAAAAUCUUUCUUUUAUUUUACAAGCCUCUCUUUUUUCCAUGCUUCUCUCUUUCUUUUUC